RNAcentral lists this long non-coding RNA (996 nucleotides) under Brassica napus (rape). Its description in RNAcentral is "long non-coding RNA (BNAP_LNC024088)". Lineage: Eukaryota; Viridiplantae; Streptophyta; Magnoliopsida; Brassicales; Brassicaceae. The record is from RNAcentral.
AUUGAACUCGAGAAUUCUCGUAAAUGGAAUUCAAUCCUAGUGUGCAGCCACUACGCCAAGAGUGUUAUACUUUCCAAGUGUUAUAAUUAAAUCAAUAUAAACAACAUAUUUAUAUUUAAUUAAAAACAGAAAAAGAAUUUGUUUCCAAAAGAAAUCGAAUGCGCGUUUAAUGUGCGAUACGAGUUGUGUAAGAGUAGAGGGCUAGCUUCUAGGCUACGGUGUAUAUUUGUUUUGUAAAGAAAUGUGAACUUCUUUAUUCACAUAUCUUAUCUAAGAUACCAUUGGUGAUAUUCAGGAUGGGUUUCCAAAAAUCGAAUAUGAAAAUGAGAUUACCAAGAUACAAGACCACUAAGCCAAUGUAUGAUAUCUCAAAAUGAGUAAGCUUUUAAAAUCAAUAUAAGCAAUUCUCUUGCUGAUUGAUACAAAAAUUAAAAAAUGUUCUGAUUCAUUAAGGAAAAAGUGACCAUAAAAUAUGAUGUGGGUUUCAUAAUACAUAAAUAUUAGUAUUAAAACAUAAGAGGGAAGUUGAUAACAUCAGAUUAAUCAUCCAUCCAACUUUUCAAGCUUUGGCCAGUCAAUUACUUUAACCUUGACAUUAGCCAAGUUCAUUCGGCUUCAAUGCGCUAUGCUGCUAGUUUUUCCAACUCAGUAACAAGGUCAAAGUUUUCAGCUUUGAUAAUGACAUCAAGCAAAUCAAUUUGCGAAGAAAUAUAUUUUACUUUGCUUGAAGCGUCAUUCCAUUCAGAUUCAGAUUGCGUUUGUUCCUUGACCAAGCGGAGAAUCGACUUGUAAUGCUCCUCGGUUUCCUUUUUCUCUUUAUUAACCAUAACUUUUAUAUUAUAAACGUUGGAAAGAACUUUGGAAUUUCUGGAUGGGUUUCUAAAAUAGUAGAAUAUAAGUAUGUUUCUUUCUAACAAAGAAGUUUAACUUAAAAAAAUGAAAUGAGAUCAACAACUAAGGAUUGAUAUCUUCAUAUUUGGAAAAUUUCAAAUUGUG